RNAcentral lists this non-coding RNA (224 nucleotides) under Rummeliibacillus stabekisii. Its description in RNAcentral is "T-box sequence". It matches the Rfam family "T-box leader". Rfam says of the family: Uncharged tRNA acts as the effector for transcription antitermination of genes in the T-box leader family. The record is from RNAcentral. Lineage: Bacteria; Bacillati; Bacillota; Bacilli; Caryophanales; Caryophanaceae.
GAAGAAGCGCUGAUAAGGACAUGAAUUGCUUUUACGGUUUACAGAGAGGGAAGUUUUGCUGAAAUCUUCCUAACGCAGGAGAGUAAUUUACCACCUUUGAGCUGUAUCGGGGAAUCUAGUAUCCGAUACCGUCUAUGCUACGUUACAGCACCAAAGCCAUAAGUUGUUUUCUAACUUAUGGGAAGUUGGGUGGAACCACGGGUUAAAACGUACUCGUCCCUUUA